RNAcentral lists this long non-coding RNA (427 nucleotides) under Crocodylus porosus (Australian saltwater crocodile). Its description in RNAcentral is "lncRNA (ENSCPRG00005000196.1)". Lineage: Eukaryota; Metazoa; Chordata; Crocodylia; Crocodylidae. The record is from RNAcentral.
GAAAGUUCAAGGAAUAAAGUGGGGACCGCUAUGCCAGUGGCUUUUCAUGCUCUUUCAGGCAAGCAUAUGGGGAUCUCCAAGGCUCACAAGUGCUUUGAGGUGUUUCUGUUCCUUCCCUCUUUUCUGCCAGCAAGUUUUUAGCAUCCCCAUUUUACUGGCGGGACAAACAUUCAACGUGAAGCUCUCCACGAAGACGGGAACAUGCUGUGAGGAACAGUCCUGUUGAGGCAGAAGGUUUUGGGGUACAAGGCAAAGACAAAGGUAAGAGUUGCUAUAUUGGGUAAAACGAAAUGGGCCAUGUUGCCCAGUAUCCUGUCUCUGAUGGUGCAGGAGCGGAUGCUUGAGAGGGGGAGCGUUGCACCGGGUGCAUCUGGAGCGAUCUGGCCUCUGUGCAUUACCCUCCCUAGCAUCCACCUUCAUCGGUGCA